UUAUCUUAUUUUAUCCUCACAAUUAUCCUGGAAUAUAAGUGCUAUUAUUAUCUCCAUUUUACGGAUGAGAAAACUGAGGCAAAGAGAAGUUAAGUGAUGUCCAAGAUCACCCAGCUAAGAAGAACUUCCUUUUAUAAAUGGCUAAAACCACCCAUUUCCUUCAAUUGAUUCUUAUGUGCAGGGGACUCAAGGCUUGCUACCAUCCUGAUAAUUUUCUUCUGGAUCCUCUACUGCCUAUCUACAUCCUUCCUCAACUGUGAAGUCAAGAAUCGAACAAAAUAUUUCAGAUGUGCAUAUGUAGAAUGAGCCAGCUCUCCCUGCUGUUAUCUCUUGCCUUUGGGCAAACCGAACAUGAAAAAUAAGUUGGUGUUAUCCUCAAAGCCACUGGCAAUAGCUGCUGCUUGCUGCCCCCACAGCUCAGCAGUUCUGAUUUCUUUGACAUGGUAAGAAUAAAUGUGAUGAAGACGUGGUUUCUUCCA
This 479-nucleotide long non-coding RNA is filed under the name Monodelphis domestica (gray short-tailed opossum). Its description in RNAcentral is "lncRNA (ENSMODG00000044030.1)". Lineage: Eukaryota; Metazoa; Chordata; Mammalia; Didelphimorphia; Didelphidae. The record is from RNAcentral.